GCGCACCAGGCGCGAAACCUCCGCAAUACACGAAAGUGUGACGGGGUUACCCAAAGUGUCCAAAUUUGGACUGUGGUAGGUGAGUAAUGUCCCCUACUAGAAAGGAGAGGGCAAGGCUGGUGCCAGCCGCCGCGGUAAAACCAGCUCUUCAAGUGGUCGGGAUAAUUAUUGGGCUUAAAGUGUCCGUAGCCGGUUUAGUAAGUUCCUGGUAAAAUCGGGUAGCUUAACUAUCUGUAUGCUAGGAAUACUGCUAUACUAGAGGGCGGGAGAGGUCUGAGGUACUACAGGGGUAGGGGUGAAAUCCUGUAAUCCUUGUAGGACCACCAGUGGCGAAGGCGUCAGACUGGAACGCGCCUGACGGUGAGGGACGAAAGCCAGGGGAGCGAACCGGAUUAGAUACCCCCGUAGU
This 409-nucleotide ribosomal RNA is filed under the name uncultured microorganism. RNAcentral describes it as "bacterial SSU rRNA". It matches the Rfam family "Archaeal small subunit ribosomal RNA", at positions 330 to 745 of the family's 1478-position model. The record is from RNAcentral.